Molecule: ribosomal RNA, 762 nt
Filed under: uncultured Streptococcus sp.
Lineage: Bacteria; Bacillati; Bacillota; Bacilli; Lactobacillales; Streptococcaceae
Description: bacterial SSU rRNA
Rfam family: Bacterial small subunit ribosomal RNA
Source: RNAcentral
GACGAACGCUGGCGGCGUGCCUAAUACAUGCAAGUAGAACGCUGAAGGAGGAGCUUGCUCUUCUGGAUGAGUUGCGAACGGGUGAGUAACGCGUAGGUAACCUGCCUGGUAGCGGGGGAUAACUAUUGGAAACGAUAGCUAAUACCGCAUAAUAUUGAUUAUUGCAUGAUAGUCAAUUAAAAGGUGCAAUUGCAUCACUACCAGAUGGACCUGCGUUGUAUUAGCUAGUUGGUGAGGUAACGGCUCACCAAGGCGACGAUACAUAGCCGACCUGAGAGGGUGAUCGGCCACACUGGGACUGAGACACGGCCCAGACUCCUACGGGAGGCAGCAGUAGGGAAUCUUCGGCAAUGGACGGAAGUCUGACCGAGCAACGCCGCGUGAGAGAAGAAGGUUUUCGGAUCGUAAAGCUCUGUUGUAAGAGAAGAACGAGUGUGAGAGUGGAAAGUUCACACUGUGACGGUAUCUUACCAGAAAGGGACGGCUAACUACGUGCCAGCAGCCGCGGUAAUACGUAGGUCCCGAGCGUUGUCCGGAUUUAUUGGGCGUAAAGCGAGCGCAGGCGGUUAGAUAAGUCUGAAGUUAAAGGCUGUGGCUUAACCAUAGUACGCUUUGGAAACUGUUUAACUUGAGUGCAAGAGGGGAGAGUGGAAUUCCAUGUGUAGCGGUGAAAUGCGUAGAUAUAUGGAGGAACACCGGUGGCGAAAGCGGCUCUCUGGCUUGUAACUGACGCUGAGGCUCGAAAGCGUGGGGAGCAACAGG